UCCUCCGCGAGGAGGAAUCUGAAGGAAGCCGGCGGUAAAUCUCUGGCCUGACGAACAGGAAGCGAAUUAGGCAGUUGGAUGUGGGUGAGUUUGCAUAACAAAACAAAGCCCUAAACUAUCCGAAACAUCCUGCUGUACAUUCGACAGGUAUAUGGAGAGAAAGUUUGCGUU
RNAcentral lists this non-coding RNA (171 nucleotides) under Pedobacter sp. ok626. The record is from RNAcentral. Lineage: Bacteria; Pseudomonadati; Bacteroidota; Sphingobacteriia; Sphingobacteriales; Sphingobacteriaceae.